RNAcentral lists this transfer RNA (72 nucleotides) under Camelus bactrianus (Bactrian camel). It matches the Rfam family "tRNA". Rfam says of the family: Transfer RNA (tRNA) molecules are approximately 80 nucleotides in length. Their secondary structure includes four short double-helical elements and three loops (D, anti-codon, and T loops). Further hydrogen bonds mediate the characteristic L-shaped molecular structure. tRNAs have two regions of fundamental functional importance: the anti-codon, which is responsible for specific mRNA codon recognition, and the 3' end, to which the tRNAs corresponding amino acid is attached (by aminoacyl-tRNA synthetases). tRNAs cope with the degeneracy of the genetic code in two manners: having more than one tRNA (with a specific anti-codon) for a particular amino acid; and 'wobble' base-pairing, i.e. permitting non-standard base-pairing at the 3rd anti-codon position. The record is from Rfam by way of RNAcentral. RNAcentral also lists the same sequence under 2 other names. Lineage: Eukaryota; Metazoa; Chordata; Mammalia; Artiodactyla; Camelidae.
GGGGAUAAAGCUCAGUGGUAGAGCGCACACUUGGCGUGCACAAGGCCCUGGGUUCAAUCCCCAGUGCCUCUG